CCUACUUUUGGAUAAUUAAUUAGGUUCGUAAAAUUAUGGUUUUUUUUUUUUUAAAAUAUUUUAAAGUACUUUGCAAAUUUUCUUUUCGCAAGUAGGAAGCUUUGGUCGGUUAAAAAAAAAGUAGGAAGCUUUGGCUGGCAUAUGGAGUCUUUGAGUUCACUAAAAAGAAUUCUAGCCUUUUAGGUCACCUUUUCUUAUUUUCGCCCACAAACUAAAAAUCAGGAAGAAAAAGUUGCUGGGCUUCCUGCUCCCUCCAAGUAUUCUGCUGGCUGGGUAUAUCACAAAGUAGGAGCUGCUCCGCUUCCUUACCAAAUUGAAAAGAAAGAGAUCCUUCUUCCAAUACCCAAACUUGAAGGUGUUUUGAUGUUCUAGUACAUAUGUUAAAGUGGGCGGUGCGGGCUAUAUCACCAUAUAAUCUGUAUGUACGAGAUGACGCUGCUAGAGGAUUUCCUACCAUUUGUCAAAAUGGUGCCAUUUAUGAAGAAGAGAAGUCAAUCUGCUGUGUCUCUGUCAAAAACUUGAGGUAAAUAGAAAAGGUGUAUGCCAAAGUGGAAUCAUAUCCUAUAAAAAAGAGAAAAAAGAGGAAGCAUAUCAGUCUUUCCAUCUUGAGGGACAUAUAAAAAGUGGCAAUUUUGUCAGUUCCCGUGGCUGCUGCUUUUGCUAAUAUAACUAUCAAUAGAUUAAUACAGAUAUCUAAUGAAAAAAAAAACACUAAACUCAAAAGCUGCAAAGGUAGUCAGCAGCAGCAGCAGCAGCAAGGCAGACAUAAAAAGCUUGCUAGCUGCAUCCGUGGAUUCAAUUCAACUUAAAAGCUCCAAAGUUUGAGCUAGCUUUUGGAGUUUGGAUCAAAACAAAGUUCCUUCAUGCGCCUCAGAAUCCACUAUCUGCAGAUUAAUGGCAACAGAAGCUGAUAUUCCAGAAUCUAUAUCUGUCACGGUAGGGUAUUCUAGAAUCUUGAUCACUCUAACUCAAAUAGCUUACUCUGUUUUUCUGUAAUCUCAUGAUCUUUGUAUGAUAGAAUUAUAUCUUAUAAUUAUGCGUUAUGGUAUAAUUGUUCUCAUUGAUGGAAAA
Molecule: long non-coding RNA, 1071 nt
Organism: Prunus dulcis (almond)
Lineage: Eukaryota; Viridiplantae; Streptophyta; Magnoliopsida; Rosales; Rosaceae
Exons: 2
Source: RefSeq, a predicted model, not a curated record